This is a small nucleolar RNA of Cavia aperea (Brazilian guinea pig), 137 nucleotides long. Lineage: Eukaryota; Metazoa; Chordata; Mammalia; Rodentia; Caviidae. The record is from Ensembl.
CUGGCCCUCAAUCAAGGCCGGCAGCUUCCUGCCACUGUUGGUUUCAAGCAGGAGCCUAAAGAGAUGUCUUUCUACGAUUUGUUGGCCAUUGCAAAACUUGGGCAGUGAAACGGUCAAUUCAUUAGAAAGAAACAGCU